This 661-nucleotide long non-coding RNA is filed under the name Brassica napus (rape). RNAcentral describes it as "long non-coding RNA (BNAP_LNC017450)". Lineage: Eukaryota; Viridiplantae; Streptophyta; Magnoliopsida; Brassicales; Brassicaceae. The record is from RNAcentral.
UUGUAUUUCUCUAUUGUAAUGUAUGUUUAAAGAAAUAUUGUUUUUAUAUCAUCUUAAUGUAUGUGUAACAAAUGUUGUUUUAUAUAAUAUGUAUUUUUUUUAGAUUUAAAAAAAAUUAUUUGGAGUUUUAGGGUUUAAGUUGGAGAAAGAGUAAGAAGAAGUAAAGAAGAAGAUGUUAGAUGAUAUGUGACUUUGGGGUUUAGGGAUUUCAUUCUCGGGGUUUAGGGUUAAGCGUAGUAAAAUCCUUGUAAAACUAACACGGGCCUGGUAACUUCGUCGUAAAUGAGAAUGCCGAUUCCACGUAAUUUCGUCGUAAAUGGAAAAAGACGAAUCCUGGUAAAUUCGUCGUAAAUGAAAAAAAGACGGGCCUGGUAACUUCGUCGUAAAUGAAAAAAGACAGGUCUGGUAACUUCGUCGUAAAUGAAAAAAGACGGGCCUGGUAACUUCGUCGUAAAUGAAAAAAGACGGGUCCGGUAACUUCGUCGUAAUAUUACGUGAAGUUUACGACGAAUGCCUUUUCCUAUAUAUUGAGACGCGCCAGAACGAGGGUGUGUCGUUCAUUACUCCCAAAAUCCUCUCUCCCUCUAAAGGUACCCCCCUCUCUCCUCUAUUAUUUUUUUAAGUUAGUUUAGGUGAUUAAUUAGUUAGGUAAUUAGUUUAG